This 262-nucleotide ribosomal RNA is filed under the name uncultured bacterium. RNAcentral's name for it is "partial 16S ribosomal RNA". It matches the Rfam family "Bacterial small subunit ribosomal RNA", at positions 93 to 354 of the family's 1533-position model. The record is from RNAcentral.
GACCGGCGCACGGUGAGUAACGCGUAUCCAACCUGCCCUUUACUAUGGGACAGCCCGUCGAAAGGCGGAUUAAUACCGUAUGUUGUCAUGUUGAUGCAUAUUUUCAUGACCAAAGGCUUCGGCCGGUAAAGGAUGGGGAUGCGUCUGAUUAGCUUGCCGGCGGGGUAACGGCCCACCGGGGCGACGAUCAGUAGGGGUUCUGAGAGGAAGGUCCCCCACAUUGGAACUGAGACACGGUCCAAACUCCUACGGAAGGCAGCAG